UACGGAGGGGGCGAGCGUUAUUCGGAAUUAUUGGGCGUAAAGGGCGCGUAGGCGGCUGAACAAGUCAAAGGUGAAAUCCCUCGGCUCAACUGAGGAACUGCCUUUGAAACUGUUCGGCUUGAGGCCGGGAGGGGGUAGCGGAAUUCCCAGUGUAGCGGUGAAAUGCGUAGAUAUUGGGAGGAACACCAGUGGCGAAGGCGGCUACCUGGCACAUAACUGACGCUGAUACGCGAAAGCGUGGGGAGCGAACCGG
This 253-nucleotide ribosomal RNA is filed under the name uncultured bacterium. RNAcentral's name for it is "partial 16S ribosomal RNA". It matches the Rfam family "Bacterial small subunit ribosomal RNA", at positions 524 to 776 of the family's 1533-position model. The record is from RNAcentral.